CAAACUGCUAAAUAAACCCUGUGUUUUCCCUCUAACUUAAUCUGUUUUACAAACAGAGCAAACCAAUUAAGGGUGGAAAACAAGCCUCUCCUUAAUAAUGUGAAUCAAAUGUGGAAGUAAUUUGGGCCCUCAGAACUUCACCAGGCACCAGACCAAGCCCAGCUGAGUGGGAGAGGGGGAAUCGCCAGAUGACGUCUACUUACACAUCUGUGGCUGUGAGAGAGAGUGUGUGUGUGUGUGUGUGUGUGUGUGUGUGUGUGUGUGAGUGUGUGUGUGUGUGUGUGUGUGUGUGUGUUUGUGUAUGUGUGUGCUCUUGUUUUUGUGACAUAUCAGGACACAACUGUGUAUAAAGACAUGGGUAUGACACAGGUAUUAUAAGGAGAGGGUGAAUUAUGAGGACAUAACCCAUGUCCCCAUUUUUCAAAACGCUUAUAAAUCAUACAGAAUGAGUUUUUUUUUUGAGAAAGUCAAAAUGCACAAAGUUUCCUGUGAGGGUUAGGGUUAGGUGUAGGGUUGGUGUAAGGGCAUAGAAAAUACAGUUUUUACAGUAUAAAAGCCAUUACGCCUAUGGGAUGUACAAACUUAUCACAAAAACAAACGUGUGUGUGUGUGUGUGUUUGUGUGUGUGUUCAGAAACUCUAAGGGAAUGAAACUUUCUGCUCUUGCAUCACUCCUGAGCUGAACUGAGUGCACACCAGUGGUGGUCAUAAUGUACAUGCGUCAAUGGCAGUGGUGUAGCUCUGUGUACGUCAAUAGUGAAGGGAGACACUCCUCUGAGCCAAUGCUCAGGGGGUGGAUUUGUCAUCAGUCGUUAUCUCUCCCUUCCUCUCUGCAGCACAGUUCACUUUUCAAAGCACCUUGGGUAAGACCCCCUGUAUGGCCAGAUGAGGUUAACAGAAUCCCUGCCAGAAACAUGAAAAGAAACGGUCUGUUUGGAAUGAGCCUGCAUACUCGACUCUAUGAUAAUAAACACUGUGAGACCUACCACAGAAAGUCUUCCUGUUGAAAAUUUCAUACAGUACAUGCUGUAUAAGAGGAGGACAGAACUACCACAGGAUUAAAGCGUAAUGGCACACAUAUAUAUAUCUGCUUCAAAACCAGUGGGGACUCUGCUGUUUUGGGGUGAGUAUCUGAACCUUUAGAAUAUAAUUUUGGUUUAUUGUGCUUGAGACUUAAAAUCAGAGGCAAUCUCCAGAAGGAAAUGCUUGUAAAUGUGAAAAGACCGAAUAAAAACUCACUAUUAGCUCACUAUGUCAAUAUUUUUUCAAUUGUACUUGCACUUUAAUUGAUCAUUCAGAAUACUAUUCUGAAUACUAAUUCAAGUGCCAUAAUUUGUCGCUGGGGUAUAUUUGCAGCAAUAGCCAAAAAAACAUUGUAUGGGUCAAAAUUAUACAUUUUUCUUUUAUGCCAAAAUAAUUAUAUAUAUAUAUAUAUAUAUAUAUAUAUAUAUAUAUAUAUAUAUAUAUAUAUAUAUAUAUAUAUAUAUAUAUAUAUAUAUAUAUAUAUAUAUAUAUAUAUAUAUAUAAAAUAUCAUGUUCCAUGGAGAUAUUUUGUACAUUUCCUACUGCAAAUUUAUCAAAACUUAAUUUUUGAUUAGUAAUAUGCAUUGCUUAGAAUUAAUUUGGACAACUUCAAAGGCGAUUUUCUCAGUUAGUUAUUUAGAUUUUUUUUUUCACCCUCAAAUUCCAGAUAUUCAAAUAGUUGAAUCUUGACAAAAUAAUGUCUGAUCCUAAUAAACCAUACAUCAAUGGAAAGAUUAUUUAUUCAGCUUUCAGAUGAUGUAUAAAUUUCAUUUUCUAAAAAUGUAUACUUAAACCUGGUUUUGUGGUCCAGGUUCACAUAUGUCUUAAGUCACUGGGGUAUAGUUUUAGCAACAGCCAAAAAAACAUUGUAUGGGUCAAAAUGAUAGAUUUUUCUUUUAUUCCAGAGUCAUUAGGAUAUUAAGUAAAGAUCAUGUUGCAUGAAGAUAUUUUGUAAAUUUCCUAGCUCAAAUAUAUCUAUGUAUUAUAAAAUGUAUUAUCAUUAGUAAUAUGAGAAUUUUCUCAAUAUGUUUUAUUGUUUUUGUUUUUUUUGCACCCUAAGAUUCCAGAUUUUCAAUUAGUUGUAUCUCGGCCAAAUAUUUUUCUAUCCUAACAAACAUCAAUUGAAAGCUUAUUUAUUCAGCUUUAUGUAUAAAUCUUGUAUAAAUCUAUAAAAUUGACCCUUAUGACUGGUUUUGUGGUCCAAGGUCACAUAAUAUAAUAUAAUAUAAUAUAAUAUAAUAUAAUAUAAUAUAAUAUAAUAUAAUAUAAUAUAAUAUAAUAUAAUAUAAUAUAAUAUAAUAUAAUAUAAUAUAAUAUAAUGUAUAAACUUUAUCACCUUCAUGACCAUCAAGAAGAUUUGAUGGGAUAUCAUGUAAAUUAUACUGCUGACUUCUAAAACAAUGCUUUAAGUCACUAAAUGGUAUAUAGAUAAAUUGGAAAUUUUCUGAGGAAAUGACUGUUAUGAUCCAAAUGGUCAGGACAAAGGGAGGAUGUUGCAUCUCCUCCCUUCCUGAAUCUUUUUCCAUGCCUGUCAAUUUUCCCCAAACUGUUGGAAUUUGCUGUCUUAUAAUGACAAAUAAUGUUUCUGAAUACAUGCGUGAUUCAUGUAUGUAAUCCACUGUUUUUUGUUUUUUGUUCAUGAUAGUCUGUCUUUGUCUAAUGGUCUCAACUCUGCAGACCCUGGUACCAAACGAACAGAGACAAACUGUGGUAAAUUGCGUUAAGAUGGAUUUCUAUUUGCUCUAAAAUGUAUUUUUGUAAAAUACCCUCUUUAUCUCAUGAUAUUUAUUUUUCUUCUGUGCUCUAGAGACAGAUUGCAUCAACCAUGCCGACAGAAGUACAAACCACCACAUACACUAAAGCAGGUGAGUGUUACAGCUGUGUAAAUAUGAUAGACAUGUCUGCUAAUUUUAUUUUAUUUUUUAGUUCUGUGUCCAAAUAAACCCUACUGUGAGGUUGUUUUGGGUGUAUGGCUUCAAUUGAGUGCUUACUGAGCACCUCAACAAUAAACAGCAGACAAUCAGUGCUUUGAAAGGUUACUGCUACAAAGUUGUUGAUAAUGUUGAAAAGAAUAUUGUGUUGCAGUUCUAGAUUGUGGUGAGAGAUUUUGUUGACACUUUCGAUCACUCUUUCUUCUAAUAUUUACAUGCAUGGGAGAGUCUCUGGAACAAAGAAUAAACCAACUGCUUCAGUUUGAGAUUUGAAUAAACACAUGGGCACUGGGGAGAUUCAGACUGGCCUCAGCCAAAGACAGAAACAAAGUCUGCAUUGUUCAAAUAUAUGGAGUUUAUUAACACACAUGCCAUGCUACCUAUAAAACAUGUUUAUACAACACACACACACUAAUAUUACAAUUUAUGUGAUGUUUAUUACAAAACUAUUUAAAAUAUAUAGGAUGUUUGAUAUUGUAGAGCGAUUGACUUAAGCCAUUUUCAAUGCUCCAGUGCCAUAAAAUGAAGCUGUGAGGGAUUGAAGUGUGUUCAGUGGAUUGUACUUUAAUCAAACUGUUAGUUCAGCUAAAAAAAAGCGUAUUUCCAUAUAAAAAAGUGUUAAAAGUUUCAUUGAAAGUUGUGAGCUGGCAAAAAAUUAUAUGACAUGGGGCCUUUACAAAGUGUGUCCCAUUGACUUUAAGUCUAUCCCUUACAGACUCGUUUUCUUCAAUGUUACAUUCAAAAUUACUUCUAACUGGACUGGUCUAUAAGGCUAUAGGAAAUUUGUAUUUAUUAAACUCAUCUAAUCAAAGAAAAAAAAUUUUUUUUAAAUACUGCUCUAAAUGCUAUUUUGUAGACUUAAUCUACUGGUACUGGUUGAAGACAAUCUCACAUGGUCAACAUGAGAUCCACAAGCCUAGAAGUGUUACAUAAACUGUUCCAGUCCUCCCUCGGCCCUGGAUUCACUUCUUUCUCUUCCUUUGAAGUGAGUGAGCUGAGAGUUUGUUUCAAUCACAGCUGGGCUCGAACCAAAAGUGCAGCACUUCGAGCACAGAUGGCAAACUCUGAUUAUAUCGUUUCACGAACUCAAUCUGCUUAAUACGACCCAGUUUUUCUUAAAAGUGUCCAUUCCAUCAAGCCGCCCUGCUCUACCCUUAAAUGUUCACUUAUGUUUCCUGUUUGGAAACAGAUGCGAAAACGCAAAUAAAUCAGAACCACUGAGCCGACGAGGCAUCAACCUGAGAGAAAUGGAGUGUUUUUUUCAAGGGGAAGACCCGUUUGCAGAUGUGCAUCUGGUGUGCUCAGCCCAGAAAAGAUCCGCGCCUCGGGGGAAACAGCAAUCUUUAAACACAACAGUGCUUUACAAUAUCAAGAGUCAGGUCUAGAACUGAGAACCGGUUCUUAUGCAGCAACGGUUCCAUUUAAACUAAAAUACUGAAGGACUUUAGUGAAGCUUGGUUAUCUUUUCUCAAACAUGCAUUCUUUGUACUACUAAAAUAAUUAAACAUUUCCAUCCCUGUUGCUCAAAAAUAAAAACUUUCAUUCUAUAUUAAUUUUAACAUAUAGCCCACAUACAGGCUACAUAAAAAAAACUACACAUAUAUAUUUAUAUAAAAUUAUGAAAAAUGCAUUUUAUGAUGAACUUUUUGACCGUUGACGUUAGUAACGUGUUUUAAUGUCAUAAUUUCACUACCAACAACAAUGCAUCUUAGUAUUAUAGUUUUUAGACUUAAUAUUAUAGUUUUCUUUCAUGACUUAAAAGGUAUUACAUAAAAACAAUGAGGCAGGAAUGAUUGGUUAAUUAAUAAUAAUCAUGUGGUUUCAUUGAAUAACACUGUUAAAAUACAUACAUAUAAUAACAAAAUAAACAGUUUGCAUUAUUAUAAAUCUCUACAAAGGGCACCAAAGGCCUGAUAAUUGCUGUUGUUACACUUACAGGACGAUCAAAUCCUUGUUUAAUAUUGACAAACAUUUAAUUCAAAUUCCCACUUGAUUUAUUAAUUUUGGCGACCUUUUUGUGGUGGAAAUGAUGGAGCCUAAAUAAUUUCUUCAACAAAACUUUUGGACAUCACAACCCUUACCAAAAUUAACCAUGAAUUUAUUAUAGUAAAGCUGCUUAAUUUCAUUUUGUGUGAUUUCUGAAUGCAUGAGACUACAAAAUAAAUCAAUGUUAUUGAUAAAAUCAUAGCCAUAGGUAACUGUCUACCAUUUUAAUUUAUAAAUAAUACAAUUUAAUUACACUUUAUUUAUUUACUUUUAUGUUUUAUUAAAGUUCUAUUUGAACCCCCUUAUAUGUUUUUUGGUUUUUAGUUGUUGUUUUUUUUGUUUGUUUGUUUGCUUGUUUUGAAGGAGGGGGCACAAUAAUACCAUUCUGCUUAGGGCACCCAUUGGGCCAGCAGCGGCCCUGGUCCGAUUCCUGAACGAAGUGAAUUACUUAAGCGUAGCUGAAUACUUUAAUUAAUCUCAUACACUUUUUGUAAAUACACAUGUUUGUUUAAUAUUUAGCCUAAGUUAUGACAAAUUAAUGGACUGACUUUAUGGCGCGUCUAAAAAUCUGUGAAAAGUUAUUAAACAACUUUAGUUUUUUAUUGUGCUUUUUUCUGUUGAAGACAGAGAGAGAGAGAGAGAGAGAGAGAGAGAGAGAGAGAGAGAGAGAGAGAGAGAGAGGUGGAGCACUAUUACGUGGGAAAAUUAAAGCGUUCUCGGUCAGCAGCUUUCUGAACAUCUGGUAACCGUGAUUCCUCGUGUGGUGACGGCGCAUCACGCUUCCACCCGUCGCGUUUCCUGUUAUGCCUAACGUUCUUCGGUGCAAAAGUUCAGGAACAUUCAGCGCUGGGUUGAGAUCAGCUCGC
Molecule: long non-coding RNA, 5805 nt
Organism: Carassius auratus (goldfish)
Lineage: Eukaryota; Metazoa; Chordata; Actinopteri; Cypriniformes; Cyprinidae
Source: Ensembl